UUUAAUGAGAGUUUGAUCCUGGCUCAGGACGAACGCUGGCGGCGUGCCUAAUACAUGCAAGUAGAACGCUGAGGUUUGGUGUUUACACUAGACUGAUGAGUUGCGAACGGGUGAGUAACGCGUAGGUAACCUGCCUCAUAGCGGGGGAUAACUAUUGGAAACGAUAGCUAAUACCGCAUAAGAGUAAUUAACACAUGUUAGUUAUUUAAAAGGAGCAAUUGCUUCACUGUGAGAUGGACCUG
This 242-nucleotide ribosomal RNA is filed under the name Streptococcus agalactiae. Its description in RNAcentral is "partial 16S ribosomal RNA". It matches the Rfam family "Bacterial small subunit ribosomal RNA", at positions 1 to 233 of the family's 1533-position model. Lineage: Bacteria; Bacillati; Bacillota; Bacilli; Lactobacillales; Streptococcaceae. The record is from RNAcentral.